This is a non-coding RNA of Oryza sativa Japonica Group (Japanese rice), 1329 nucleotides long. Lineage: Eukaryota; Viridiplantae; Streptophyta; Magnoliopsida; Poales; Poaceae. The record is from RefSeq and is a predicted model, not a curated record.
CCUAUUCCAUAAAAAGACUUGGUAAUGGUGUUAACUCAAGAGAAGUUGUCCUUUUUGCCCUUACUCAUUUGACCCUAUUAUAUCAAAGUUUUUUUAUUCAUACCUUUUUACAUAUUUGUAACGAAUUUGGUAUAGUUUCCACUGAUUUGAGAUAAGUUUGAAAGAUUUGGCUUUCAAUUUGACAUAAUUAUGGCAGAUAUCUUCGAAAAUUUUCACAGCAUAUUGCCCUAUUUUGUUGAUCUCAAAUUGCAUAUAAUGAAGAAAAACACAAGUAUCAAAAUAGCCACUAGUUCUCUGUCGUUCAUGUAGGGAAACGUUUGUGUUGUUUUUGCUGCUAUGUAUGGUGUUCAUUCAAAAACCAAAAUUGCAGGAAGCACGUGGGACCCACCGGCGACGACAGGCAGGAGGCCAAUGCUGCCGCUGCCGUGCCUUUUGAUGCUCUCACCAUCGCCGCAGUCCUUGGCGCGUGAGCAGCCACCGGUCGACGCACUCUCUGUGGAACUCGUGCCCGCACGACAGCAGCACGCGCACCUCGUCGCCAGCGGCGUACUCCGCCGGCCAGGCACACCGCGCACACACCGCCCUCCUCGUCCGUCGACGACGUCUCCUCGUCGGCGACGGCGCCGUCGCGGGGCAUCUGGACCACGUGCGCCGGGAUCCCGUCGAGCGCGCGCUUGGUCUCCUUGGACGGCUCUGGCCGCAUCAUCGAUGACCCUAGCACGCCGUCUCGCCGUCACAGAAGCAGGCGUAGAGCUCGGUGAGCAUUGUCGCCCCCUUCAAGCGCUGCCAUCCCCUUCGAGCGUCUCCGCCGCCGCUCGCUCCAAGCGCUGCCUUCGCUGCCUCCACACGCUCUGAGCGGAGCCGUUGCCGCUCCUUCUACCUCGGCUGUGGCAACAGCUCCCUCUGCACGGCCGCCCCCUUCGAGCGUCGUCGCUGCCGCCGCCAUCGCUCAUUCUGCUCCCUCCAUGGAAAGUGGAAACCAUUGCGCCAGAUGAAGUUGGGGAUAAGAUGCUUUUCUGGGCAACGCUCGGCUCCGGAUCUAGGAACAUCUUCAAAAGUGUGAAGAGAACAUGGCAUUCUUAUAUUCUGCAUAUCGAAGCUUAGAAGUUACGGUCAUAUAGAUUUUUAUCAACUACGGAUGGAGAUUCACAUAUAGACUUCAAUAAUUGUUUUCUCGUUGUGUGUUGGCUUUAUUAUUUCUGUUCUUAUUAUUGUGUGAGCAUUUGCUCUCUUUAAGAGAAUUUUGUAAUAAGUGGAUGUAGAUUCUUUGAAGUAAAGGCCGGAAUUUUUAUUCCACCAUAUUAAAAAAAAUAUCAGUGUUGGUUUGUC